CAACAGGAGUCACUGUGCACCUGCUCCCUAUGUAGGACCUUUGUCCUUAAUGUGUUGUACUAUGUGAAUUAACGGUCAAACUACUACCCAAACAGUGAGCUAGGCCACAAGAAAUGUCAAGAACCCAUUGGAAAAGAAGAGCUACAAGAUAAGAUCCUUGAGGACGAAGGCCCUUGACUAGAGGAAGGGGUUGCAUCUGAAGAUGUGUUCCAGCAUCUCCUGACAACUGGCCCUCUACUCUAAGUGGAAUGGAUGCUAAUGUGUGAAUCGAGGGGGCAAAGGAGCCUCGGGACUGUCCGAGGCAUUAUGGUGCUUUGUUGGUCACAAGAGGAAAUGAUGAAAUCUUCCAGUUUUCAGUUAUCCAAGUACAAAAGUAUCUUUCUCGAGCAAAUCUGAAAGGUUCCAUUUCUUACAGAUUGUACAAGCCUACAGGGCUCCUGAAGAAAAUACCUGCUCUCUUUCCUUUGAAUCUCUACUGCUUUCCUUUUGCUCUAAGAACACCACAGAGAGAAACCAAAUGUGCCUAAUAAAUCUGCUACCAGCACAUGUUACAGUUCCAAUGGCGAUUCUUCUAUUCACAUUUUUCCAAGCCACUGGCACAAUUUUAUCCCUUUACUUUAAACAAGGCCCUCUUCCUAUACUCUUGAAAUCUAGGGCAUCCACUUUGGGCUUCCUUGUCUUCAAUCUGUUCCCAGUUCUCUCUCCUCCUUGUCACCAUUCUACCUACCCCACUGCCUACAAACUCCCAUAAGACUGCCAACAGCCUAACCUCUUAAUCAGGCCCUGCUCUUUCUCCACAACAAUUCAUCCCUCAUACUGCCUGACAUAUGAAUAUUAUUACAGCACCUUUGAUCAUUUCAUACACAUACAAGUUCCUUUUCAUUCAGUCCUCAUUACUUAAAAGAAGAAAUUAGCUCCGUACCUAAGGACUGAACCACACCUGACUCCAGAAUUGCAUCCCAUUCUUAUCUGAUAUACAGGCUUGCUCCAGGUGCACCCUAAACCUCCUUGCCUCUGCAGCAUUGUUUGUGCCCUUUCUGCCACCUAGGAUAUUCUCUCCCCCUUGUCAACUAGUCCAACACUCAUAACAACCUCAGGUCUAUGUGCCACUGAUGCUAGAGUGUAAAGUCAAAGGCUGGAAAGGGAAGCAUGCCUUCAGUUCAUAGAAACUGUUGUGGACCACAGGAGGGGCUAGCACUGAUCCCUAUGAUACUAGGAAGCUACUGAAGAUUUGCAGAGCAGUACAUGAUCCUAUUAGACUGUAGUAAAGUCUUACUGCAGCAUAUAGAUUAAGAGAUCAAGCUAUUGUGGAAAUACAGACAAAAGUGAUCUCCACUACCACAGUUCCACAAUGAUGUAAAAGAGUGGGCUGAAACUACAACUGGCAUAUGGACACCUGCAUCCCAUAUCAGAGAACCUGGUGCAAGUCCUAGCCACUCUCCUGCCAGCCCAGCUUCCUGAGAGGCAGCAGCUGAUGGCUCAAGUACUUGAAUCCAUGCUACCCAUGUAGGAGGCCCAGAUGGAGAUGUAGGCUACUGGCUUUGGCCUUGCCAAAUGUUGCAGGCAUUUGGAAAGUGAAUCAGCAGUUGUAGAAUCUGUGUUUCUAUCUCUCUCUCUUUCAAUUAAAAAAAUUUUAGAAGAAAGAAGUGGACUGAUUUGAGUGCUAUUAAGGAAGUAGAACCAACAGAAUUAGCCAUUUGAUGAAGCCAGGAGUGAAACACUCAUAUUUCUGGCUUGGAUAGAGUACCGCUUACUAAGACAGGAGAACAUGGGGCAGGAAUAGAUUGAAACAGGUUGCAUACAAUGUCAGAGGGAUUUUCAAGGCACAAUGUCCAAUUAGUUAACAAAUAAAAGAAGCUAAAAUUCAUGAGAACUACCUGGUCUUACUUUUUCAACCUGGGUAACACCAGCUAUAGGCAAAUGGUCAUCUAGUCACUAUAAAGAGAUUAAAUCUAUCCAGAACAAGUAUAUGGUGUGAGUACAGAUGAGGGCCAUGAUGACUAUCAAUAUUUCAAGGAUACCCAGGGGAGAAUUUUCAGAGAGAACACAGAAAUAAGAAAUCUCAGUUGUAGAAGAAACACCAAGAGUGAGUGAAAAGUGCAGGACGGAGAAAGAAUACCUACAAGAGAUU
This is a non-coding RNA of Oryctolagus cuniculus (rabbit), 2131 nucleotides long. NCBI's taxonomy places the organism in Eukaryota, Metazoa, Chordata, Mammalia, Lagomorpha, Leporidae. The record is from RefSeq and is a predicted model, not a curated record.